GGUGGCUCAGUGGUAGAGUACUUGCCUUGCAUGCAGGAGGCCGUGGGUUCAAUUCCUCAGCACCA
This 65-nucleotide transfer RNA is filed under the name Dipodomys ordii (Ord's kangaroo rat). It matches the Rfam family "tRNA". From Rfam's summary of the family: Transfer RNA (tRNA) molecules are approximately 80 nucleotides in length. Their secondary structure includes four short double-helical elements and three loops (D, anti-codon, and T loops). The record is from Rfam by way of RNAcentral. Lineage: Eukaryota; Metazoa; Chordata; Mammalia; Rodentia; Heteromyidae.